Molecule: ribosomal RNA, 523 nt
Filed under: uncultured bacterium
Lineage: Bacteria
Description: bacterial SSU rRNA
Rfam family: Bacterial small subunit ribosomal RNA
Source: RNAcentral
GACGAACGCUGGCGGCGUGCCUAACACAUGCAAGUCGAACGGAGCUAUUGACUUCGGUUGAUAGCUUAGUGGCGAACGGGUGAGUAACGCGUGAGCAACCUGUCCUUCAGAGGGGGAUAACAACGAGAAAUCGUUGCUAAUACCGCAUAAGACCACACUGUCGCAUGGCAGAGGGGUAAAAGGAGCAAUCCGCUGAUUGAGGGCUCGCGUCCCAUUAGAUAGUAGGUGAGGUAACGGCUCACCUAGUCUGCGAUGGGUAGCCGAGCUGAGAGGCUGAACGGCCACACUGGAACUGAGACACGGUCCAGACUCCUACGGGAGGCAGCAGUGGGGAAUAGUUGGGCAAGUGGGACGAAAGCCUGACCCAGCAACGCCGCGUGAGGGAAGAAGGUCUUCGGAUUGUAAACCUCUGUUCUUGGUAGACGGAAAAAGAGUAGGACGGUACGACGAAGGAAGAACCGGCCCGUAACUAACGUACGCGACGACGACGACCGACCGGAACGGUAAAGUGGUGGUACGUACG